CUUGCACACAUCCAGCACCACACACACACAUGCUAUUUUCCUGGGUUCCCUUCAACCUUCUCACCACUGAGGAAGUGAGUGUACAGUGUAUGACAUGCACAGUCUACACUCGACUGAUGAGGAUUUUAAGUGGAUACGUCACAAAUAAGGGGACGGGGAAGAGGGAGGGACGGAGAAGAGGAGAGCAAGGCAUGAACAGAGAAAGAGAGAGAGAGACCGAAAUAUAUUGACUCAAAGCUGGUCUUCAUGGUCCUUAGUGUAUAUGUGUGUGAGAGGCAGGCGUGAGAGCAGUUGAGAUGGAGUACUGGCACAGAUGAAGACUGCCACUGGUCCCGUUCAACAGCCCACAUGAGCGUCUCCAAACCACCACCGCCGCCGACCACCUCCCACCUGACCAUCCCUCCUUCCUCUUCCUCCACACCCUCCUCGUCCGCUUCCUCCCCCUCAGCCACACCCCACUCCUCGGCCCUGCCCCCUCCAUCGCCCGUCAAGAUUUCUAUGCAGGAGCACUUUGCUAUCAACGUGUGCCCGGGCCCCAUCCUCCCUAUACCACAGAUCUCAGAUUUCUUCCCACGCUUCCACGACUACCCCUGCACGCCACCACCUCCACGGGAGAAGAAGAUCCUGAAGGAGGAGACGUUCAAUGGGGACAUGGGCGUAGGCUACAAAGAUGGAGAGAAGCGAGCAGACAACAGUGGGGACCGAGAGGAAGUAGCUGACUCUGAUGAUGACGACACCUAUUUGGGGACACUGGAGUUCACCCUGCUCUUUGAUCAGGAGAACAACUGCCUUCACUGUACUAUUCACAAGGCAAAGGGACUGAAAGCCAUGGACUCCAAUGGGCUGGCUGAUCCAUACGUCAAGCUUCAUCUUCUGCCCGGGGCUAGCAAGGCGAACAAGUUACGCACAAAGACCCUGAAGAACACACUAAACCCUGUUUGGAAUGAGACUCUGGUGUAUCAUGGAAUCACAGCGGCAGAUAUGACCACCAAAACACUCAGGCUGUGUGUAUGUGACAUGGACCGACUUGGACGGAAUGAAUUCAUCGGCGAGGUGAGAGUGGCCCUGAAGAAGCUCAGAGAGGGAGAGAACAAACGCUACAAUAUGGGUUUAGAAAGAAUUGCACACAACAAAGAAUUGAACAAUCAAGCUGUGGAGCAGGGAGCGCUUACUGCAGAGGAGGAGCGUGGCCGUAUCCUGGUGUCAUUGUGCUAUAACACAGAGAAGGGCUGCCUGCUGGUUGGGAUCAUACGCUGCGCCCAUCUGGCCGCCAUGGACUCUAACGGGUACUCUGACCCCUUUGUCAAAAUCAUCUUGCAGCCGGACAUGGGGAAGAAGUCCAAAUACAAGACGUCAGUGAAGAAAAAGACUCUCAACCCUGAAUUCAAUGAGGAGUUUUCCUAUGAGGUGACUCUGGACCAGCUCGCCAAGAAAACUCUGGAGAUCUCCGUGUGGGACUACGACCUGGGAAUGAGUAACGACUUCAUAGGUGGCGUCGAGCUGGGCAUCAAUGCGAGCGGACAGAGACUCAGACACUGGUUCGAGUGUCUCAAAAACAAAGGGAAGAAAGUGGAAUACUGGCAUACGCUCACACAGCAAGGAGCCCCCAGCAGUGACAAACCGGACUAGACGUUGACGCACACACACAACACACACACACACACACACACACACACACAUUUAUCCCCCUAAAAGAGAUCAAGAGAAAAGAAUAAAACAUGCAAUAACACCAAUGCGUUGAAGAUGAAAUGCAUCAUUUAAUGCAUAUUAUUCUUAACUGAUAUCCAUACUGACAUCAGUGAUGUUAAUAAGGUGUGGUGUUUAUUUCUUUAUUUACUUUUGAAGGUAGACCAAACUAUCCUCAUAUGUGUAACAAAGGGAUGCACGCAAAGUUGUCCUUUUAGACCUUGUGGAAGUCACUCGUCGUCCAAACUAAUCAAGAAGUGCAUGAAGGAGGCCAACAUCCGCGUACUGCGACUCUAUUGUCAAUACAACAAUGUUAACUUGUUGUGCUCAGCCAUUGUUACAUAAUGAUAUAAAGCACAAAGUGAUCAUGUCAGUGUUUUUAACUCUUUGUCUGUCUUUCAUUGUCUUUGUGACUGACUCGGUCAUCUGCGUAUGCGUGUGGGUGUGCGUCUCAAGCAGGCAGUGGGAAUUUGAGUGCCUCGAUUGCAUCUGUUUUCACAUUGUGUCCCAUUACGAGUAUCACAACUGAACUUCGAGAAGCACAGUGCAUACGGGUGUGUGUGUGUGUGUGUGUGUGUGUGUGACAGGAAACAAAAAAAUGGCAAGAAAGCAGUGUCGCAGAGAAACACUCUAGCUGCAGUGGCAUGUUUGUUCCUGGAUGGAAGACAGCGACACACUGUCAGCUAUGUGUUGUAUCAUUGCCUCGCAGUCAUACAUACACGUACCGGCCACAACAUUGGCUACACAUUCACAAUCUCCGAUACAAGAGCUGUUUCGAGACUCGUCGAUGCGUCACACUGAGCGUUGUUUCAAAUUCCAAAUUUUUUAAAAACUCCCUUGUAUUGGCUGUCUUUAGAUUUUGUACUGAAUGAAGAGGGUGGUCAUAGUUGACAGUAUCUCACAAAAGUGAGGACAUCCCUCACAUUCCAGCAACCAUUUUAUCAUAUUGUCUAUAAAUAUAAUAUUUUGUAAUAAUGGCUGUGUGUUGAGUCAUUGUCAGGGGAUAGUACACUAAAAGUACACUGCCAUGCAAGCUAUACAUGGACUACUCUAAAGCAGUGGGUCUCAACUGGUGUAUUAAGUGGUGACCUACUUUUAUAGAGGUUUGUUAUUUUAUAACAAUAUUACUAAAAUAAUACAUUUAUACUUUAAUAAAGUAAUUUUACUAAUUAACUAAAAGUUAGUUUUAACUACUGUAAAAUAAAUUAACAAGCUAAUUUAUUUUUAGUUCAAAACAGCCUUCAAUACGUAAUAACAAAAAUAAAAAUACAUUAAAUUACAUGUGUAUAAUUUAUUCCGAGGAGGAACGUCAAUGACAAAAAAAAUGUAUGCUGUAAAUUAAUACAGUCAAACCUGUCUUAGCGGCCACCUUUAUAGAACGGCCACCUGCCUAUAGCGGCCACUGAAAAAUCCCCCGCAGCAAAUUUGCAUGUUGUAGACCCUGUGUAUAGCAGUCACCUGUCAAACAUGGCCAGCGGCCACCCAUUUUGUCUCCCUUGGUCAAUAUCUGACAGCAUAUAGCGACCAAAUUACCGACUCAAGUAGAAGCUUCAUGCACGAAAAAGUUUUGUUUUUUAAGCAAUGAAGCCGUCGUGUGUACAGUAGACUUUAAUUACUGAGUCCUAGCUCAGUCACAAUCAUUCACAAGAUCCACACAAACUGUCAGUUGUUCCACAUAAAAAAAAAGCCGUCUUCUUUGGAGCUUGUUGCAGACAGUGACACCGUUUAUUUCCUGGUGUGAGACAAUGUGCACUGGUCAAUACUGUAAUGCCCCUUGUUGUGAGGAAGGAGAGACUCACGUCGCCGAUGCACUUUAAUCACUUUACUGUAUUAACAGUUGUUUAUUAACCUAGUAGUUCCUUACAACUUUUAUCCGCAGUCCCACAGUGCCCUCUACUGGUCAACAUGUAACUGUAUAAUUAUAUGUAUCUGCAAACAAAACAAGCUUCUAAUCACAGACAUGGUAAUAUGGAGCACAAAUUCAAAAUGGCCGCCAACUUGUCUAUAACGGCCACCUGCCUAUAGCGGCCACUUUUGCCGUUUCCCUUUAGUGGCUGCUACAGACAGGUUUGACUGUAGUUGAUUAAUAUGCUAAUCAAAAAAAUAUUUGUAUUUCAAAAUGAAAAAAAGCCACCAGUUGAGAAACUGCUGUAAAGCAUAUCCAAGCUUAAUUUCUCUGAUCUUGACCUUUGAGAAGAUGACUACAAAUGGUUGCUGAAAUGUGAGGGGUGUGCUCACUUUUGUAAGAUCCUGUAUGCCUUCAUACCUUAGUGCAUUCACGUUGCUGCAUACGCAUGGUCGUGUUCCUUCAACUGUGCAAUAUCAAUCAAUAAAUGAUGCAACUUUUAUUUCAUGCAGGCUAGUAAUUUAUCAAUUUCAGAAUGGGUCUUGUCACUUGAUUUAUGAGAAAAGGGUUGCUUACAGCUCCGGCAUACAAUGCCCUUGAACAGGGUGAAAUCAACAUCUACCAUCAUUUAUGUCAUCACAUAUUUUCAUAAUACUGUUGAAUAUCAGGUUUCUUUACAUACUCUUUAAGUGGCAAAGAUGAUAUGCAAAGUCUGUGUAUAUAAAUAAGCCAGAAAAGAAAUCAUCCCCAGCUGUUACACAAGUUAAGUACAUGUACUGUUUGUGUGCAUGUGGGCUGUAUGUCCUGAGAGGAUAUCGUUUAUCACCACAGCUCUAACCGGGCUCUGGUCCAUGCGCACACGCCCACAGUGGGAGUUUUCAGUCCAAUCGAUCCGUCGAGUCCUUCGACAACCUUGUGACUGUUUCGUUGUUGGCCACACAAUGAAAAAGGGCUCCGGUAUCAAUAAAAGCUGUGAACACUAUUAAAACAGUUAGUUAGUUUCUCUACUUUCUCUAUGCAUCAAAGCCUCUCAGUAUGACAGCAGUGAGAUCAUCAGCACCAAAUUGACAUGGUUGUGAUGCUUUUUCAACACGCUCGCAUGCUUGGCUUUACAUGCAAUGUAGCUGCACGCUUAGCAAUAAUCAUCAGCUUGAAUAGUGGCGUGUGUGCUCAUGUACAUGCCAUUCAUCCUGCCAUCACUCUUGUUUGUCUGUGCAGGCUGCCGUUCAGGAUAUAUGUACACUAUUGUCACUUGUCGCCCAUGAAUGGUUCCAAGUGUUGAUGAUGCAGGCAGGGCUGAAGGAGGGAAUGAUGUAUUCAACGUCACAAUCACACAGUGUGACUGGCAUCAUGUGGUCAUGUUGUGUCACUACUUCUCAAAAUAAACGGAGCCGUUUCAGUGCUUGUCUGCCCUUCCCUUGAAAAUUCCCAGUACUGCCAGUAUAACAUUUACUAGUGAGUUGUCCAUGCAACAGUCUGCAUAUAGUAUGCAAUUCACUAUUUGAUGCAAGGUAACACAAUAAAUAUGCUACAUGCAGUCUCACUGUAAUUGUAAUUGUAACAUUCCAAAAUCAAAGGCUUAAAAAAUAUAUAUAUAUAUGUAUAUAUAUAUAUAUAUAUAUAUACAGUACAUUUACUGUGAAAUCUGCCAACAAGAAAAUAAAGUGGAAAUGGAAUCAAUAUGUGGAAAAAUAAUUUGUGUUUGAAUUUCUGUCAUCACAAAAAUAUUUUGUUUUUGUAAUUCCCACAGACUCCCUGCAGUGAUACUAAGGGACAUGUCAUUGAACACAGUGUUGCUCACCUUCUUCACUGGAACAGGGAGGGGUAAAGCUAUGGGGAGCCAGGGCUGCUGAUGACUAAUUUAUUGUUAUAUCUAGUAAAUGGGGGAGGGACAACAGAUUUAAUAAUACCGUAUUUUCGUGACCAUAAGGCGCACCGUAUUAUUGGGCGCAGGCAGUCAAACAUACGGGCGCUCAAGAGUCAGUCAGGUUUUUGUCUUUGGGCAGAUUAAGAACAGAUCUCUCAUACAGUUUUUCAAACCCACUGGAAAUCACGGAAGGACAUCGCUCAACACAACAGUCUCAGUCAUGGUGCACAACUAAAAACAUCACACAGCAACGCAGCAGAUAGACAAAAACAGACAAGACACUACCGCUAUUUGUGCAGAACAAUAACUGACAACUAUGUAGCUCAAACAUGUAACUUUAAGAGCAUUUGCACCAAAACACUACCGCAAAGCACGCUGGGGAACACAACGUGCUCCCAGCGAACCUACAAUACACUAGCAUGCAUGCACACUAAAACAUACGCUGGCAUGCAUGCACGCUAAAACAUACGCUGGCAUGCACGUUAUCGUAUGUUUUUUAAAAGGCAGCUGGAGCAAAACUGAGUUGGGUUGCACUUUAUUGAAGUAUUUAACAAUGUGCUCACUUUAUUUUUGAUCAAUCCUCAUCCACAAAUCCAUCAAAGUCCUCACCUUCUGUAUUCGAAAUGAACAGCGGGGCAAGUUCUCCAUCAAACACGCCAGGUUCCCUCUCGUCAUUGUCAGAGUCAGUCUCGUUGCCGUGCGGCUCCUCAGAAAUGAUGCCGGCUUUUGCGAAAGCUCGAACAACAAUGCAAGCACACACGUUAGCCCAAGCAUCCACAAUCCAUUCACAAAUUGUUGCGUAACUCGCACGGCGCUGCCUCCCGGUCUUAGUAAAGCUGUGUUCGCCAUCUGUCAUCCAACGCUCCCACGCUGCUCGCAACUUCACUUUGAACGGCCUGUUUACACUGAUGUCCAGCGGUUGGAGUUCCUUCGUCAAGCCUCCCGGAAUGAUGGCAAGCUCCGAGUUCAUUUGCUGCACUUGGUUUUUUUACAGCGGCUGUGAGAUAAGCGCGCAUGGAGUCACAGAUCAACAGGGACGGUGACGCGUGGAAAAAAAACAUCCGGUGUCUUUUUGUAUACAUCACUCAGCCACUCAGCCACUCAGCCACUCCACGUCCGUCCAGCCCAUUUGAUUGGUCUUAACGAUGACUCCAGCUGGAAACUUUUCUUGAGGCAGCGUCUUCCUUUUAAAAAUCACCACAGGUGGCAGUUUGUGUCCAUUACCAUGGCAACCAAGCACAACAGUAAAAGCCAACUUCUCGUGUAUCGCUACCGUGCUGGUCCCCUUCUCUACAGUGUGGUUCACCGGGAUGUCGAAAGUGAGCGGCAUGUCGUCCAUGUUGCUGAUGUGGUUGGGCUGGAUGUGUUUGUCGGCAAUUUUUUUUACUGCACUAGGAGUUGCUGCGCCACGGUAGUCUUUGCCCGAAUGGAUAGAUGGCGCUGUUUUGUUGAUGUUGAAUUCUCUUGCGGCUGCUCGAUUCCCAUGUUCCUCCGUAACUGAUGGCUUGCAGUUUAAACUGUGCUUCAUAAGCUUGUCUCUUUGUAGGUGCCAUUUUCGAGGGUCCUUAGCCAAACCGAUGUUGUUUUGCACAAUGCACUAUGUACUACCUACCGGGGGAGUGCCUUUAGCAUCCUCUUUCACGCCCACCCUUCCCCCUUUAACGUCCGCAUGCUGUCCUCAGUCACGUCCGCCUUUCGUCCAUAUAAGCAGCGUGUUGGCAGGAAAUGCUUCCAGUCAGUCAAGCGGAGCGCUCAUCAAAGUCGCACAACAACAUUAACAGAUUUUGGCAUGAUGCACACAUAAGGCGCACUGCAUUAUAAGGCGCCCCGUUCAUUUUGGAGAAAGUUUAAGACUUUUAAGUGCGCCUUAUGAUCGUGAAAAUACGGUGCAUGCUAAACAUUUACCUGUGCUGAUUAAAUGUUAUUUAAAAGGGAGUGAGAUGGGGGACAGUUCAGGGGACAUUGUUUUAAUUUGUUCCACCAGGCGCCGCAGUGUCCCUGAUCUUCUCCUACAUGUUACAGGUCAUACAUGGUACUGGACCAAAGCAGCAGGGUCUAAAGACUGCUAUCACCUGUCCCACAACCAGGGGUGGAUUGGCCAAAAUUGGGUCUAUGGACACCAGUUUAUGUAUUUAUUGUUGGCCUUAGAAUGUUACACUAUACUGUAUUAUAUGGCAAUAGAUGCACUAGGGACCAAUUGGAAAAUGGCCGUUGAAGAAGCCUGUUUCUCUGUAGACCGCCCACAAGCUCAUUGGCUCUGCCGAAUUUUGCUAACGUGUGAUUAGCCGUCCCCGCUGUCAGUCAAUGAGCGGGUGGAUUUGCACAACAGUGUUUUAUUAGUUGGCUGGAGUCUGCCCGGAUAUGUUAGCUAGACGGUUUUUAAUAUCAGAGGUUUCAUUUAAAUGACAUUUACAUCUGUGCCUGUGUGCACAUGCUUGUGUAUGUGUGUACUUUUGUUUGUCCCCCCCCUUUUAUGAAGCCCUUACGUGAUACUUUCAUCAAAGGAUGCCACAUUGCACACCUCCAAGCUUGCAAGCCACAUGGUGUAAUGCAGGGGUCACCAACGUUUUUUCUUGUGAGAGCUACUUUUAGAAAACGAAAAUGGCCACGAGCUACUCAUUUUUGUAGAAAUGAUUUAUUUAGACGUUAUUUCAACCCAAACAGAUCAAAUAUGCUUGUUUUACCAAAAUAUUCACAAAAUGCUGGUAUCCACAACUCACAUUUUAUGUUUCAGAAUACUUUUCUUUCUAGUGUUCUCACAUUAUUAACUGAAAACCUGAAUGAAAAGCAGGCCUGCGGGCGCCCCAUGUGGUCGUGGGGGGCUACCUGGUGCCCACAGGCACCACGUUGGUGACCCCUGGUGUAAUGUGAUGUGUUUUGAGGUUUUGAGCACGUACAUCUACUAUUUUUACAAUGACUUUCUACUGUAAUGACAUCCCCCUCAAUCAUGCCACCUGCAGAGUUGAAGCGUUUCAAGUGUCAACAUGCACCUUUUUAGUGCCCAUAGUUCAAUUUGCAUCAGGACAUUGGCGUAACAAUUUAAAAAAUAUGUAUACUUUACAUAUUUUUCCAGUCAAUGUUUAUGGUUUACUGUCCUAAACACUACUGUUACAAUCCUGUCCAUACAUUACAAUGAGCUGUACUGUCUGUUCUAAAAUCGAGAUGUUUUUGUUCAUUUUUUAGAUGGUUAUAUUAUUGGUUUCCAAUAAUAGUCAAAGUUCUCAUUGCAUGCAGACUCUUUUUUUUUUUUUGGACAUGAUCUUGUUCAAACCCAUUCCACACUAUUCCUCUACUUUUCAUGUCCCCAUUUGUGAUAGGUGACAGGCCCUGUACACAAGCUCUCCUGUGGACAUGAUCUCACCAGAGAACCCAGCAGCCCAGUGAACCCACCCAUAAAUGAUUUCACUCUCAUUUAUUAAUUCACGGCUACAGUACGUAUCUGGAAUAAAAAGUCCAAGCCCAAAUUUUUGUCCCAGUCCACCCCUGCUGAUAACCUCACCACCUUCAGGAUUGACUACCAAAAAAGGCUGAUCAGAAGAUACUGGUUGGUUUUAAGUGAUGCUUGUAACAGACAAACAUUGUAAAUAUAAAAAUACUGUAAAUAUGCAAUUUGCAAUGAAAACUCCAGACGGCUCGCUGCCGUCAGCAUGAUCUGAUUGGUGAAGGAUGAUUUUCGAGGAGCACGAGCACACGAGACAAUAUAGACAGAAGAGAUGCAAAUAGUUACAUACAUUAUAACACCUGUUGACCAAACUGACACCUGUUCAAUUCACCAACAAACCCAAAUGGUCCCUUUUGGUCACCCACCAAGGUGAUCCACACAGCUAUUGCCCCAGGUCGUCCACCUGUGACUAGCAAUUGACACUUGUGUGUGAUUGUUGGUUUUACAGCCGCCAGUCUCUUUCAUGAUUGACAUGAUUUGUCCACACAUUGGGUGGGGAUAUCGAGUGCAUGAUAUCGGUGUUUUAAGUCCUGCUCAUUUAGUGCACAUUUGCGCUAAAUGGGGGAGGAAAAGCUGUUAUAAAUAUUUUACAUAACUUUUCAGUGCACUUAACUGACUAGAGGCAAACACACUCGAUGUGUUAUUGAAUUGAAGUGUUUUGCUGGAACAACUUUUAAGUUUUAAUUGAAUCACAUAUGCCUUUUUGAGUUUUAACAGUGCAGUUUGUUUGAUUAGACCUCACAUUUUAGUCUUUUCUGCUAAAAUACAGGUGGUAAAAAAGUAAAAAAAACAUUUUUGUAAUUGUAUAACAAGUCUGAACAAAUCAGAUAACAAAUGAAGAAAAUACAAAUGCAAUAUAGAGUGAAAUUUUUACUUUAAACAAUAUUAUUAGUUACACAGGCUUACGUAGUUAUCUAUUGUAGUUAACAUUUUGUACAACUUAUGUCAUGGGUCUGAUUCAACCCCUCUGUAAAUGACAUAUGUACAAACCUUCCAUAAAUUGUUGUAACCGAGCGGUUGAGGAUUCCCAAUAAUGUUGGAAGAGUGACGCGUGUACCUACGGAGCCCCGGAGGGGACAUGGAGAAAAAAAAAUAUGAUGGGUAAAAAAAAAAAAAAAGAACUAACUUUUGCUUUCCCUCGCAGAACUUUUGCGAGAUAACGCAAAACUUUUGCAAGAUAACGCAAUACUGUUUUGCGUUCCCUCGCAAAACUUUUGCGAGAUAACGCAAAACUGUUUUGCGAGGGAACGCAAUACUGUUUAAGAGCAUUGCACUUCCAUGUACAUAUACUUCCGUGCUCAGAACGGAAACAAAACAUACACGACAAUGGAGUGGGACAAGUUUAUUGAGUUUUAUUUUGAGUUGGGCCUAAAAUACAAAGAUAUUAAAACAGUGCUUAGCAGUAAGCAUGGGUUCGAGGUAAGUCAAAGACACCUAAAAAGAAUCUGCAGCGAAAGAGGGCUGUCUCGUCGCAAAGCGUAUACAGAUGUAGCGGUCCUGGUUGAUUUCAUCAAGUACCAACUGCAAUACUCCGGACAACUUCACGGGUAUAGAUAGAUGUACGCGAAAUGCAGAGAAAGUGGACUACGGGUGAGGAGAGAGGAACUGGAUCCGAGAGGAGUCGCAUUCAGGCAAGCAAGGCGCUUACGACGACGGAGGUACUUUUCCAAAGGGCCGAACUUCAUCUGGCACCUGGACUCAUAUGAUAAACUGAAGCCAUAUGGCUUCUGUAUCAACGGGAGCAUUGACGGGUUCUCCAGAAAGAUUAUCUGGAUCAACACGUACACCACAAACAGUGACCCUAAACUGAUUGGAGGCUAUUACAUCGAAGCAGUUCAACGUUUGGGGGGCUGCCCACGAAUUGUGAGGGGUGAUCCAGGCACUGAGAAUGGCCGUGUAAGAGACUUUCAGCGGUUACUCGUCCCUAUUCCUCCAAACGGUACCGUUGACAGUUACUUGGAGGGAGCCAGUACCGCCAACCAAAGAAUUGAAUCUUGUUGGGGUUUUCUACGCAGACAGUGUGUGGAGUUUUGGUUAUCUUUGUUUGCAGACCUCAGAGAUAAUGGAUUAUAUGACGGCGGGUUUCUGGACAAGGCAAUCCUUCAGUUUUGUUGCAUGGGACUCAUCCAGGAUGAGUUGGAUGACACUGCACAGGUUUGGAAUACACACACCAUCAAACUGUCAAAAAACAUCAACGUCCC
Dunckerocampus dactyliophorus (ringed pipefish) is the source of this 11042-nucleotide RNA transcript. It is a transcript of the gene named double C2-like domains, delta, with no coding region annotated. NCBI's taxonomy places the organism in Eukaryota, Metazoa, Chordata, Actinopteri, Syngnathiformes, Syngnathidae. The record is from RefSeq and is a predicted model, not a curated record. The transcript has 12 exons.